RNAcentral lists this long non-coding RNA (680 nucleotides) under Salvia miltiorrhiza (redroot sage). Its description in RNAcentral is "long non-coding RNA (SMIL_LNC003631)". The record is from RNAcentral. Lineage: Eukaryota; Viridiplantae; Streptophyta; Magnoliopsida; Lamiales; Lamiaceae.
AAUAUAUGGUCUUCAAGUAUAUUGUUAUAUAAUUUCAACUAAUUAAAACAAAUCCUAACAAAUCCUAAAAUUUAAUUAAUUAAUUAAUAAUAGGAAACAAAUUAGUGGAAACAAAUAAAAAUAACAAUAUUUUAGCAAUAUAAAUAUCCGAAAUAAUAACAUAAUUUUAUAUUAGAUAAGAAUAAAUAAUAUUAUUUUUAUCUUAUAAAAAAAAUCUAAUUUUCGAAAAAAUUAAAAAAUAAUAUCCAAAAACAAAUCUAGUAUUAUUUUAAGGAGAAACACAAAAUUAGUUGAAACAAAUUAAUAAAAAACAAAUAAACACAUAAUUUAGGAGAAAUAAUUUUUGAAAAAAAUAAUAAUAUUAAUUUAGAAAAAAAAAUAGCUAGAAACAAACCUAGAAUUAUUAUAACAAGAAACACUAAAUUAUUGGUAACAAAUCAAUGAUUAAAUUUAAAAACAAAUAAAUCAAAAUCAAAACCGAACAAAAAUUAAAAAAAAAAUCGAAUUAUAUAAAUUAUAAAAUUUCCCACACUCUAAAUAAUGGAAUCAAACUAAUCAACCGAAAACAAUGGAUCAUAAAUGGCCGAAAAAUGUAGAUAAAAUGGUAGAAAAAAAAGAAAGAAAAUGGAUAGAAUAAAUCAAGGAUAAAUCAGUAAAUAUACUAAAUCCAUAAAACCGGC